GGUGUUGUGGCUCAGCGGUAGAGCACUUGCCUGGCAUGUGCAAGGCCUUGGAUUCGAUCCUCAGCACUA
This 69-nucleotide transfer RNA is filed under the name Ictidomys tridecemlineatus (thirteen-lined ground squirrel). Its description in RNAcentral is "Spermophilus tridecemlineatus (thirteen-lined ground squirrel) tRNA". It matches the Rfam family "tRNA". Rfam says of the family: Transfer RNA (tRNA) molecules are approximately 80 nucleotides in length. Their secondary structure includes four short double-helical elements and three loops (D, anti-codon, and T loops). Lineage: Eukaryota; Metazoa; Chordata; Mammalia; Rodentia; Sciuridae. The record is from Rfam by way of RNAcentral.